AUACGUAGGUGACAAGCGUUAUCCGGAUUUACUGGGCGUAAAGGGCGUGUAGGCGGUCUUGCAAGUCAGAAGUGAAAUUCCUGAGCUCAACUCGGGCGCUGCUUCUGAAACUGCAGGACUUGAGUGCUGGAGGGGAUAGCGGAAUUCCUAGUGGAGCGGUAAAAUGCGCAGAUAUUAGGAAGAACACCGGUGGCGAAGGCGGCUAUCUGGACAGUAACUGACGCUCAGUCACGAAAGCGUGGGUAGCAAAUAGGAUUAGAUACCCUAGUAGUCCACGCUGUAAACGAUGACAACUAAAUAUUGCCGCGAGGCAGUGUUGAAGCUAACGCAUUAAGUUGUCCGCCUGGGGAGUACGGUCGCAAGACUGAAACUUAAAUGAAUUGGCGGGG
RNAcentral lists this ribosomal RNA (389 nucleotides) under uncultured bacterium. Its description in RNAcentral is "partial 16S ribosomal RNA". It matches the Rfam family "Bacterial small subunit ribosomal RNA", at positions 523 to 918 of the family's 1533-position model. The record is from RNAcentral.